Molecule: transfer RNA, 73 nt
Filed under: Ovis aries (sheep)
Lineage: Eukaryota; Metazoa; Chordata; Mammalia; Artiodactyla; Bovidae
Rfam family: tRNA
About the family: Transfer RNA (tRNA) molecules are approximately 80 nucleotides in length. Their secondary structure includes four short double-helical elements and three loops (D, anti-codon, and T loops).
Source: Rfam by way of RNAcentral
UCCCUGAUGGUCCAGUGGCUAAGACUCUGUGCUCCCAAUGCAGGAGGCCUGGGUUCAAUCCCCGGUCAGGCAA